This is a long non-coding RNA of Takifugu rubripes (torafugu), 1942 nucleotides long. The record is from Ensembl. Lineage: Eukaryota; Metazoa; Chordata; Actinopteri; Tetraodontiformes; Tetraodontidae.
GCCUAAGGACCCCUUUCCCUUUACCAAAACAAGGAAAAAACCUGAGUUAUCAUAGCAUCUGCCUACUGAUUAAAUCUCCCUAUGUCACGUUCCAGUCUAGGGUAUGGAAUUGUGAACCAGGGAAAAGUGAAGGUGGCACGAGGAAUAACGCAAGAUCAAUAAGUGAAUUAUAGAUUUAAUGGCAAAAGUGGGGUUGGUACAAAAAUAAAUGAGCACUUAAAUUAUAGAGGUCUAAUCAAUAGUUACAGGCACGUUGCAUGGCAAACAUUACAAAAGUAGACAAAAGUGGCUUCUCCACAGAAGCAGGCGAACUGCAACCGACGGGCUGCGUAUCACAAAACGAAGUGGAAACUGGUAGCGCUGACGUGGCGAGUCACGGAACAGAACGAAAACGGAGCCAGAAGGAAUCGUUGGGUGGCACCCCAGGGUUUUUAAAAGGACGCCAAUCUCGAACCAGCCAAUCACAGACCAUGGCGCAGCACCUAUUGAAACAGAAACACAAAACACGGGGGCGGGACAAAACGGAACCAAACGCGCAAAGCGCACAGUAAAAGCAAACUAAACCACAUAACUGGGAUCGUAACACCCUAGUAAAUUCAUUAACACAAAACUUCAAAUAUAUGCAUUAAACACAUCAAACAUUAAUUUUCAAAUCUGUAGUUCACAGUCCCCUGAUGAAGGAUCUUCAGUUUUUUUGCAUCUUCAUUCAGGGUCUUCCAGCAUCUUUCACAGUUCAUUUUGAAUUUCUGAGUCCAUUCCAACAUAGUUGUCACCCCAACGUAGCUCCCCAACUACUGUCCUGGAAACAGAAAAGAGAGGGGCCAGUAUCUUUGCAAACAAAACAUUGGUUUCAUUAGAGGGAAUACAAUGCAAACAUAUCAAAACAUGAUUGUCACGAUUAAGUAAAUUAUCUAACCAUUUCCCCCUUUGUCACCGGAACUACAACGGAGGAAAGGAAAACAUAAACACCAUUAAAUGCAAAGAGUAACAUAAGGAUGUAACUCGAAGGUCACACUAGAUACUGAAUUAUUGAUUAUACUGGAUAUUUAUCAACCAUCUCGUCAGAAAUAUCCUCCUCAUCUGAAUCAAUCAAAGCUUUGUCACUUAAGAGUGGCAUCUGGACCUGGUUGCUAGGCAUCACUACACCAAUCCAAUGCAAUAUCAUCGCCUUGGCACAAGUUAAUGACAAAGUACAAAAACAAAACAUCACACCUAGUGACACUACGACGGCACUGAGAACCUGUACCAAUAUAGCUCCCAUCGGACCAAAUUUGUCCUGAAGCCAGGCCGUCGCCGAUGUUCCUGCGCUUUCAGAAGGACCAAACGCAUCUCUUAUCUUCUUCAAAGCAUCAAUCACACUUGUUAUAUUAUCACCAUUGUCUGGAAUCAAAGUGUAACAAGCAUCUCCUGUCAAGUUCAAAGACACACACAAACCUCCUUCUUUGGCCAAGAUGUAAUCUAGAGCCAUGAGCAUGUUUCAACAACGUAAGUCUGUGGCUCCUCUGAGUGUUGGAAAGGUGUUCAAAGCCUUUUAUGGUUUCAUUAGCAAAACCCUGCAGAGUGUAAAUAAUAUUGCUGAGGUACUGGUGGAACAGAUGUCACAGAUGGAAAUUGAUAUGAUUGGCAUGGUGUUUGGUUUGAUUGCAUUUGUGAUGUCUGAUCAGGUUGGCUUUCCAUCACUACUAAGUCUUUCAGCGCCCCCCCAAAACUGACCUUUGUGAGCAGAAAACAGUUCAGCAUCAUUUACUGCAGUUGCCAUGAACCGAGGCAUGCCAGCCUUCUCCAAAAGGUCUUCCAUGGCAGACACACCAAUGAGAUUAGCUAGGAGCCUUUUAAUGUCUCCAACAGCAGGUUGUGUUCCAAUCAAAAGUUCCUCCAGUUUCGAAAUCCAGGGGUGUGCCCCUUCCUGAAGGAUAGGUAGCUUCUCUAAUAUAUUCUGCCA